UGGGGAAUAUUGGGCAAUGGACGCAAGUCUGACCCAGCAACGCCGCGUGAAGGAAGAAGGCUUUCGGGUUGUAAACUUCUUUUAAGGGGGAAGAGAAGAAGACGGUACCCCUUGAAUAAGCCACGGCUAACUACGUGCCAGCAGCCGCGGUAAUACGUAGGUGGCAAGCGUUGUCCGGAUUUACUGGGUGUAAAGGGCGUGCAGCCGGAGAGGCAAGUCAGAUGUGAAAUCCGCGGGCUCAACCCGCGAACUGCAUUUGAAACUGCUUCCCUUGAGUAUCGGAGAGGUCAUCGGAAUUCCUAG
Molecule: ribosomal RNA, 303 nt
Filed under: uncultured bacterium
Lineage: Bacteria
Description: bacterial SSU rRNA
Rfam family: Bacterial small subunit ribosomal RNA
Source: RNAcentral